This 483-nucleotide ribosomal RNA is filed under the name Triticum aestivum (bread wheat). Its description in RNAcentral is "partial small subunit ribosomal RNA". The record is from RNAcentral. Lineage: Eukaryota; Viridiplantae; Streptophyta; Magnoliopsida; Poales; Poaceae.
AUGGCCUUUACUGGCGAAAGGAAGAACACUGCAGUUAGGGGACACCGAUCGAGUUCCAGCUUUCCAGGCACUAGCGAAACCGCCCAUGCUGAGUAUGCCGAUAAAUGUCCAAAUGGAGAGGAACAGAACAAAUCCCCAUAUCCAGCAACGACGAUUGGCAUGGCCGGACCAGGAAAUCCAGAAGGAAAUGAAGACUUCUCCGAUUCCAAAGGCGAAAAUGGCAACGAAGGUGAUGUAGUAGGCAAGCUUGUUGUGGCCAAAGAUUACUCCACUGGCCGGCUUGUAGAGCAUCGUGCGCACGUCCAUAACCAGGGUGAGGAAUCCCAUUGUCCCCAGCACACGUGUGAUCAGCUGCAUUGCACGCUCAUGAGCGGGCAUGUUUGCACAUGCCUGGUCUAUGUUGUUCUCCAACUCACCGUCGGUGCCACCCUAUACAACAGAAAUAACCACACAUAUCAUCAACAUCUCAGCCAUGUAAUAUAG